Molecule: ribosomal RNA, 301 nt
Filed under: uncultured bacterium
Lineage: Bacteria
Description: partial 16S ribosomal RNA
Rfam family: Bacterial small subunit ribosomal RNA
Source: RNAcentral
CAGUCGCCACGGUAAAACGUAGGUGGCAAGCGUUGUCCGGAAUUAUUGGGCGUAAAGGGCUCGCAGGCGGUUUCUUAAGUCUGAUGUGAAAGCCCCCGGCUCAACCGGGGAGGGUCAUUGGAAACUGGGAAACUUGAGUGCAGAAGAGGAGAGUGGAAUUCCACGUGUAGCGGUGAAAUGCGUAGAGAUGUGGAGGAACACCAGUGGCGAAGGCGACUCUCUGGUCUGUAACUGACGCUGAGGAGCGAAAGCGUGGGGAGCGGACAGGAUUAGAGACCCCAGUAGUCCCUGUCUCUUAUAC